Molecule: unclassified non-coding RNA, 348 nt
Filed under: soil metagenome
Description: partial contains 5.8S ribosomal RNA, internal transcribed spacer 2, and large subunit ribosomal RNA
Rfam family: 5.8S ribosomal RNA (bases 1-120)
Source: RNAcentral
GAUGAAGAACGUAGCGAAAUGCGAUAAGUAAUGUGAAUUGCAGAAUUCAGUGAAUCAUCGAGUCUUUGAACGCACAUUGCGCCCCCUGGUAUUCCGGGGGGCAUGCCUGUCCGAGCGUCAUUGCUGCCCUCAAGCACGGCUUGUGUGUUGGGCCCCCGUCCCCGGUUUCCCCCGGGGACGGGCCCGAAAGGCAGCGGCGGCACCGCGUCCGGUCCUCGAGCGUAUGGGGCUUUGUCACCCGCUCUGUAGGCCCGGCCGGCGCCAGUCGACACCCAACUUUAUUUCUAAGGUUGACCUCGGAUCAGGUAGGGAUACCCGCUGAACUUAAGCAUAUCAAUAAGCGGAGGA